RNAcentral lists this ribosomal RNA (810 nucleotides) under uncultured bacterium. RNAcentral's name for it is "bacterial SSU rRNA". It matches the Rfam family "Bacterial small subunit ribosomal RNA", at positions 502 to 1308 of the family's 1533-position model. The record is from RNAcentral.
UACGUGCCAGCAGCCGCGGUAAUACGUAGGGUGCGAGCGUUGUCCGGAAUUAUUGGGCGUAAAGCGCGUGUAGGCGGUUUGCUAAGUCUGGUGUGAAAGCCCGAGGCUUAACUUCGGAAGUGCACCGGAUACUGGCAAGCCAGAGGACGAGAUAGGGAAGUGGAAUUCCUGGUGUAGGGGUGAAAUCCGUAGAUAUCAGGAGGAACAUCGGUGGCGAAGGCGACUUCCUGGCUCGUAACUGACGCUGAGACGCGAAAGCGUGGGUAGCAAACAGGAUUAGAUACCCUGGUAGUCCACGCCCUAAACUAUGGAUACUAGACGUCGGAAUACCUAAUAGUUUCGGUGUCGCAGCUAACGCAUUAAGUAUCCCGCCUGGGAAGUACGGUCGCAAGAUUAAAACUCAAAGGAAUUGACGGGGGCCCGCACAAGCGGUGGAGCAUGUGGUUCAAUUCGACGCUACGCGAAAAACCUUACCCAGACUUGACAUCCCGCGCAUAGCCAUGAAAGUGGUGAAUUGUCUUCGGACACGCGGUGACAGGUGCUGCAUGGCUGUCGUCAGCUCGUGUUGUGAGAUGUUGGGUUAAGUCCCGCAACGAGCGCAACCCUUGCCGCUAGUUACCAUCAUUUAAUUGGACACUAUAGUGGGACCGCUUGGCUAUAAGCCAGAGGAAGGCGGGGACGACGUCAAGUCCGCAUGGCCUUUAUGUCUGGGGCUACACACGUGCUACAAUGGAGAGUACAGAGCGCCGCAAGCUCGCAAGAGCAAGCUAAAUCGCUAAAAAACUUUCCUCAGUUCGGAUUGGAGUCUGC